UGGUCUGCAAAAGAAACUAACAAGGAUUCCCCUAGUAACUGCGAGUGAAGCGGGAAAAGCUCAAAUUUAAAAUCUGGCGGUCUUUGGCCGUCCGAGUUGUAAUCUAGAGAAGUAAUGCCCGUGCUGGACCGUGUAUAAGUCUCCUGGGAUGGGGCGUCAUAGAGGGUGAGAAUCCCGUCUUUGACACGGACUACCAGUGCAUUGUGGUAUGCUCUCAAAGAGUCGAGUUGUUUGGGAAUGCAGCUCAAAAUGGGUGGUAAAUUCCAUCUAAAGCUAAAUAUUGGCGAGAGACCGAUAGCGAACAAGUACCGUGAGGGAAAGAUGAAAAGAACUUUGGAAAGAGAGUUAAACAGUACGUGAAAUUGCUGAAAGGGAAACGCUUGAAGUCAGUCGCGUUGGCCAGGGAUCAGCCUUGCUUUUGCAUGGUGUACUUUCUGGUUGACGGGUCAGCAUCAAUUUUGACCGCUGGAAAAGGGCCUGGGGAAUGUGGCAGCUUCGGCUGUGUUAUAGCCCCUGGUCGCAUACAGUGGUUGGGAUUGAGGAACUCAGCACGCCGCAAGGCCGGGUUUCGACCACGUUCGUGCUUAGGAUGCUGGCAUAAUGGCUUUAAGCGACCCGUCUUGAAACACGGACCAAGGAGUCUAACAUGCCUGCGAGUAUUUGGGUGGAAAACCCGAGUGCGCAAUGAAAGUGAAAGUUGAGAUCCCUGUCGUGGGGAGCAUCGACGCCCGGACCAGAACUUUUGGGACGGAUCCGCGGUGGAGCAUGUAUGUUGGGACCCGAAAGAUGGUGAACUAUGCCUGAAUAGGGUGAAGCCAGAGGAAACUCUGGUGGAGGCUCGUAGCGAUUCUGACGUGCAAAUCGAUCGUCAAAUUUGGGUAUAGGGGCGAAAGACUAAUCGAACCAUCUAGUAGCUGGUCUGC
Molecule: ribosomal RNA, 923 nt
Filed under: Agaricus bisporus (cultivated mushroom)
Lineage: Eukaryota; Fungi; Basidiomycota; Agaricomycetes; Agaricales; Agaricaceae
Description: LSU rRNA
Rfam family: Eukaryotic large subunit ribosomal RNA
Source: RNAcentral